This 440-nucleotide ribosomal RNA is filed under the name uncultured bacterium. Its description in RNAcentral is "partial 16S ribosomal RNA". It matches the Rfam family "Bacterial small subunit ribosomal RNA", at positions 338 to 795 of the family's 1533-position model. The record is from RNAcentral.
CCUACGGGAGGCAGCAGUGGGGAAUAUUGCACAAUGGGGGAAACUCUGAUGCAGCGACGCCGCGUGAGCGAUGAAGGCUUUCGGUAUGUAAAGCUCUAUCAGCAGGAAAGAAAACGACGGUACCUGACUAAGACUCCACGGAUCACUCCGUGCCAGCACGCGCGGUACUACGCCGGGGGCAAGGGUUAUCCGGAUGUACUGGGUGUAAAGGGAGCGUAGACGGUCAGACAAGCCAGAUGUGAAAGCCCGGGGCUCAACCUCGGGACUGCAUUUGAUACUGUAAGGCUAGAGUGUAGGAGAGGCAGGCGGAAUGCCUAGUGUAGCGGUGAAAUGCGUAGAGAUUAGGAGGAACACCAGUUGCGAAGGCGGCCUGCUAGGCGAUGACUGACGUUGAGGCUCGAAAGCGUGGGGAGCAAACAGGAUUAGAUACCCCAGUAGUC